CUCUUCCCAUUCCGAACAGAGAAGUUAAACCUUGCUACGCCGAUGGUACUGCGAAAGCGGGAGAGUAGGUAACCGCCCCUU
Molecule: ribosomal RNA, 81 nt
Filed under: Bacteroides sp.
Lineage: Bacteria; Pseudomonadati; Bacteroidota; Bacteroidia; Bacteroidales; Bacteroidaceae
Source: RNAcentral